Molecule: ribosomal RNA, 515 nt
Filed under: uncultured bacterium
Lineage: Bacteria
Description: bacterial SSU rRNA
Rfam family: Bacterial small subunit ribosomal RNA
Source: RNAcentral
AGUGGACGCUGGCGGCAUGCCUAACACAUGCAAGUCGAACGAGCUUUGGCAGUUUAUCGUCAGAGUUAGUGGCAAACGGGUGAGUAAUACGUGGACAAUCUUCCCUCGAGCGGGGGAUAACUCCGGGAAACCGGAGCUAAUACCGCGUGAGACCACGUCCUGGCAUCAGGAUGAGGUUAAAGCUCCGCAAGGGGCGCUUGAGGAGGGGUUCACGGCCUAUCAGCUAGUUGGCGGGGUUAAAGCCCACCAAGGCGACGACGGGUAACCGGUCUGAAAGGACGACCGGUCACAAUGGCACUGAGACACGGGCCAUACUCCUACGGGAGGCAGCAGUGGGGAAUUUUGCGCAAUGGGGGAAACCCUGACGCAGCGAUGCCGCGUGGAGGACGAAGGUCUUCGGAUUGUAAACUCCUUUUGUCGGUGAAAAACAUUUACGUGAAUAACGUAAACUGAUUGUAUCCGGCGAAUAAGCCACGGCUAACUUCGUGCCAGCAGCCGCGGUAAGGUGACGCUCU